RNAcentral lists this ribosomal RNA (316 nucleotides) under uncultured eukaryote. RNAcentral describes it as "partial 18S ribosomal RNA". It matches the Rfam family "Eukaryotic small subunit ribosomal RNA", at positions 1470 to 1796 of the family's 1831-position model. The record is from RNAcentral.
CCCUUAGAUGUUCUGGGCUGCACGCGCGCUACACUGAAGCGUUCAACGAGUAUUUCACCUUGCCCGGGAGGGUUGGGUAAUCUUUUUAAAACGCUUCGUGAUGGGGAUAGAUUAUUGCAAUUAUUAAUCUUCAACGAGGAAUUCCUAGUAAGCGCGAGUCAUCAGCUCGUGCUGACUACGUCCCUGCCCUUUGUACACACCGCCCGUCGCACCUACCGAUUGAAUGGUCCGGUGAAGCCUCGGGAUUGCGAAUGCUUCGUGCGGACGCGAGAACUUGGCUAAACCUUACCAUUUAGAGGAAGGUGAAGUCGUANCA